Molecule: transfer RNA, 78 nt
Filed under: Bacillota bacterium
Lineage: Bacteria; Bacillati; Bacillota
Also listed under: 1 other name
Description: tRNA-Arg
Rfam family: tRNA
About the family: Transfer RNA (tRNA) molecules are approximately 80 nucleotides in length.
Source: RNAcentral
GCGCCCGUAGCUCAGCCCGGAUAGAGUGACUGACUUCGAAUCAGCAGGUCGCAGGUUCAAAUCCUGCCGGGCGCACCA